CUGCUGCUGCGGCCGGAGGAGCCGCCGGUUUUCCGCCCCCCCACAUCCCCCGAUCGCUGCUGCCGUGGCCUGAGGAGCCGCCGGUUUUCCCCCCCACACCCCCCGAUCGCUGCUGCUGCGGCCGGAGGAGCCGCCGGUUUUCCGCCCAGCCCCGACUCCUCUCCUUCCACCUCAAUCGCCGCUGCAAGCCGUCAUGACAUCUUCUCUUCCGCCAUCUUGUCUCCCCCUUCUGGUCUCGUUCGCUUUUUUAUACCGAGGGAGGGAGGAGACGCUCGCUGAUUGGCUGACGGUGUCAGCCGCGGAAUUCACCCAUUGGCUCAUCCCCACGAGGGGUUCUCCGAGGGGGUGGGAGAAAGGCGCUGAUUGCUCACCGUGUCGCUGAGGGGAGGAAGGCACUGAUUGGUCACUUUCCGCCGAAGUUCGCCCUCCCAGUACCAGGCGCUGAUUCGCUAGCGCCCCUGAGGUAGAAAAGGCGCUGAUUGGUUGUCGUUUUCCCGCCGACAUUAGCCCACAGCAACGAAGCGCUGAUUGGGCAGCGCGGCUGACAGGGCUGCUCGUCCAUUGGCCGGAGGGCGGGUGGGGGGCGGGACCGGGCGGGACAACGAGGUGAUAAAUGGGGCGGCGCAGAACGCGCGCAGGACCAGAAAGGCAGAGGCGGCAGCGGCAGCGCGACAUCAUCAGCGCGCCCAGCCCCCCCCCCCCCCCACCGCCGCGGGAAACCCGAGAGCGGCAGGAACGGCGGCCGGAAUCAGUUAACGGGGCGGGUCAGGGCGGUAAUUAUCGUGCGGCUGUUAAUUGGGGCUCGGCGGGUUAAUGAGUGACCAGCGGGCUGGCGUGUAUCUGGGGGUUUUGAUCGGAACUGGGGUUUUAAAGCCGCGGGUUUGUGAUGGGGGGGGGGGGGGGGGGGGCGCGAUUAAGGCUCCCGGAGCCGCUUUAGCGGUUUAAAUCGUUGUGUUGAACGCGGGAGGAGCCGGUUCGGGGCUUUUCUCAGCAAUCGGGGCUGGUUUGGGUCCAAUUCGGCUUUUAAAAGAUGUUUUUACGUAAUUUUUGGGUGCCGAUUUGUGCAAAAAGGCGCCUUUAAAAUCUGUUUAUUGAGGGUUUAUCAGGAGAAUUAAAGUUUAAAGCUCGGGGAGAUUUGCGGCUUUUCCCCGGGAUUUUGAGUCCAAAUCGGGUUUUUUUAGAGCCCUUAUUUAUUUAAAUUAUUAUGCUUAAAGGGUUUAUUUGAGGUUUUGUUUGGAACAUUUUGGGUGGGUUUGAGGCUCCCAAGAUUUAAUUGUUUGGUUUAUUAUUUGAUUUAUUAUUUCACUGCGGUUUGGGGCUCCUGAAGACGCUGAAUUGUUUCAAUUAUUUAGAGCUGUGAGGAGCCGUUUUGGGGCCGUUGGGGUCUGAAUCGGCUUUUUAAAAGGUUUAUUUAAUGCGUUUAAAGUUUGAGGGGCCGAUUUGCGACUUUAAAGCUUUUUGAAUCUCCUUAUUGAUAAGAAUUUAUACAAUAGAUUAAUAUUUAAAGCCCGGGGGGAGAUUUGGGGCUGUUUCCCAGGAUUGCGAGUCCAAAUGCGUUUUUUCUGUUAACCGCUUAUUAAUUCAAAUUAUUAUAUUUAAACGGGGCUUUUUGAGGUUUUAUGAGGGUUUUUUUGACCAUUUUGGGCGGUUCUGAGGCUCCUAAAGCCGCUUAAUAGUUUAAAUUAUUAAUUGUUAAAAUAAUGUAAAUAGUUGUUGAAAUAAGUGUGUAAGUUAUUGUAUUUAAAGCCGGGAGGGGCAUUUCGUUGCUUUUUGGGGGGUUUUAGGGCUGAAUUCACUUUAUUGAACGUGUCUAGAGCUGGGGGUCCCAGAUCUGGUGCUGAUUUGCGCCCCAAAAAAAGCUUUAAAAAUCUAUUUAUUUAUAAUUUACUGAAUUAAUAUUUAAGCGGGAACAUGUUCGGCUUUUUUAACCCGCCGCCAUUUUGUCUCCCCCGUUCCGCUGUCCCCUCACGCUGAGGGGCCGAGGAGACGCUUGCUGAUUGGCCGGUGCCGUCUGGCGGGAAAGCCUCCCCUGGCUCAGCCCCGCUCGGCUGUCUCCGAGGGAGAGAAAGGCGCUGAUUGGUCGCUGCCUCUGAGGAGAGAAAGGCGCUGAUUGGUCGCCGCCUCCCUAAACCCACCUCCUGCGCAGAGAACAGCAAAGGCAGCCUGGCCACGCCCUCUCCGGCUGACCGCGCGUGCCCCCCCCCCCGCAACUCGGCUGACCGCGCCCCCCCCGGCUGACCGCGUGUGCCCCCCCCCCCCCCCCCCCCCGCAACUCCGGCUGACCGCGUGCCCCCCCCCAAGUCCGGCUGACUGUGUCCCCCCGGCUGACCGCGUGCCCCCCCACUGCACUGCUGCUGACUGUGUGCCCCCCCACCUCCUCUGGCUGGCCACAUCUCCACUGCACACCAUGGCGGGGAUGGGGCAGGGGGGGGAUCACAAGGGUCUAUGGGGCGGUGUGGGGGUCAGGGCGGAUGUGGGGUCAAUGGGGUUGUUGUGGGGUGAAACACCCCUGAAGAGGCUGAACACCCUGCAUGUGAGUGAACCACACAGUGCCCCACA
Columba livia (rock pigeon) is the source of this 2559-nucleotide long non-coding RNA. RefSeq lists it as uncharacterized. Lineage: Eukaryota; Metazoa; Chordata; Aves; Columbiformes; Columbidae. The transcript has 2 exons. The record is from RefSeq and is a predicted model, not a curated record.